This 498-nucleotide ribosomal RNA is filed under the name uncultured bacterium. RNAcentral describes it as "partial 16S ribosomal RNA". It matches the Rfam family "Bacterial small subunit ribosomal RNA", at positions 899 to 1397 of the family's 1533-position model. The record is from RNAcentral.
ACUCAAAGGAAUUGACGGGGACCCGCACAAGCGGUGGAGCAUGUGGUUUAAUUCGACGCAACGCGAAGAACCUUACCUGGACUAGAAUGUGAGGGAAGGUUGGGUUAUACCAAUCGUCCGGGAAACCGGACCCAAAACAAGGUGCUGCAUGGCUGUCGUCAGCUCGUGUCGUGAGAUGUUGGGUUAAGUCCCGCAACGAGCGCAACCCUUAUCAACAGUUGCCAUCAUUAAGUUGGGAACUCUGUUGAGACUGCCGUUGAUAAAACGGAGGAAGGUGGGGAUGAUGUCAAGUCAUCAUGGCCUUUAUGUUCAGGGCUACACACGUGCUACAAUGGCCGGUACAAAACGUCGCAAUCUCGCAAGAGGGAGCUAAUCGCUAAAACCGGUCUCAGUUCGGAUUGGAGUCUGCAACUCGACUCCAUGAAGUUGGAAUCGCUAGUAAUCGCAAAUCAGCAUGUUGCGGUGAAUACGUUCCCGGGUCUUGUACACACCGCCCGU